RNAcentral lists this ribosomal RNA (253 nucleotides) under uncultured bacterium. RNAcentral's name for it is "partial 16S ribosomal RNA". It matches the Rfam family "Bacterial small subunit ribosomal RNA", at positions 524 to 776 of the family's 1533-position model. The record is from RNAcentral.
UACGUAGGGGGCCAGCGUUGCUCGGAAUUACUGGGCGUAAAGGGUCCGUAGGCGGUGUGGUAAGUCGAUAGUGAAAUCUCUGGGCUUAACCCAGAGGCUGCUAACGAAACUGCCAUGCUAGAGUGUGAGAGAGGCGAGUGGAAUUACGGGUGUAGCGGUGAAAUGCGUAGAUAUCCGUAGGAACAUCCGAGGCGAAAGCGGCUCGCUGGAUCACAACUGACGCUGAGGGACGAAAGCUAGGGGAGCAAACAGG